Molecule: non-coding RNA, 140 nt
Organism: Hyla sarda
Lineage: Eukaryota; Metazoa; Chordata; Amphibia; Anura; Hylidae
Product: small Cajal body-specific RNA 16
Exons: 1
Source: RefSeq, a predicted model, not a curated record
GUGGUCUGGGUUACGGCUCCUGGUUGUGGUACUUGGCGGCCCCGCUCGGACCUAGAGAAAACUCCCGGGGAGUCCCCGGGCAGUAACAGGUGUGGGCAUCUCCUAGUGUCUUAUGCUCAUGUAUGAUACUGCGCACAGUC